Molecule: ribosomal RNA, 188 nt
Filed under: Staphylococcus aureus
Lineage: Bacteria; Bacillati; Bacillota; Bacilli; Caryophanales; Staphylococcaceae
Description: partial 16S ribosomal RNA
Rfam family: Bacterial small subunit ribosomal RNA
Source: RNAcentral
UGGUAGGUGGCAAGCGUUAUCCGGAAUUAUUGGGCGUAAAGCGCGCGUAGGCGGUUUUUUAAGUCUGAUGUGAAAGCCCACGGCUCAACCGUGGAGGGUCAUUGGAAACUGGAAAACUUGAGUGCAGAAGAGGAAAGUGGAAUUCCAUGUGUAGCGGUGAAAUGCGCAGAGAUAUGGAGGAACACCCC